CUUCCAUACAAAUUUCAAAAAAUGUCUUAUUUAGUAAUAGUUCUGAACUAGGUAAUAUUUGAAAAUAUUAAAAUAGCAAAUUCAUUGCAUUCAUUAAAUGUUUAACAAAAAAUAAUACUUCAUUAACAAUCAUUGUAUGAACUGGUAUUGGUAAUUUUAUACUAGAUACAAUUAGAUGUGUGUGGCAUUUAGUCACACAUAAAUUAAGUAUUGAGUAUAUAAAGUUAAAAGAUGAUUGCUUAUUUUUGCCGACCAUCGGAGAAACCAAUAAUAACAGUGUGUAACCAAAACGAAAUUAGGUGUCUAUUUAAGUACUUAGGUAGUAGGAUUCCUUACUAAUUUUUACAAUGUUAAAAAUUUGUAUACAUUUUACAGUAGGUAAUAAUUAUUGUUAAUAAACCAUUAAACCAUAAAAUCAAUUAUUUAACUGUGAAAUGCUACUUCCUAUAGGCCAUCUUACGAUAAUCAACAAUAACAAUUAUCAAUUUGCCACUUUAAAGUUAUUACUACUCGUAUUGCAUGUGGCACGUGCCAACUCUUACACACAAUUUGGGUGUGUUCCCCUUGACAAAAUUUGUGAAUUGUAUAAUUGUUGUCUUAUCUUUUUAACGUGUAUCGUUUAAUUUGUACCUACUAUUACAAUUAUAACAAAAAUAAAAUAUUGUUUUUAAUGACUUCACAUGUUUUUUGGUAGGUACUCGCAUUUACUUUGUACGUAGUACACUUCAAAUUUAAAAAUUAAUAAAAUUUGAUGACUUGGUAUACACAACUUUACUUUAAAAUUUAAAUAAAUUUGUGCAUAGGUAUAGCCUGUACCAUGUAUACUGCUUGUGAUUUACAAAGCAAUCUGUAUUUUGUAAAAUUAAUUAUUAGUUGACAUUUAUCAAUUAUCUAUAAAUAUUAAGUUAAAAAUGUGCCUAACAAAUAAUUAAGGUUGGUCAUUACCAUAUAUUAAUGGAUUUUAUAUCAAAUUGAGUAAGUAUUUUUUGCUGGAUGUUGGUGUGAGUUCAUCAUUUUACAAGUUCCAUUUUGGUACUAAAACAAUAAUUAUGUUAAAUUUGAAUUGGU
Molecule: non-coding RNA, 1068 nt
Organism: Cinara cedri
Lineage: Eukaryota; Metazoa; Arthropoda; Insecta; Hemiptera; Aphididae
Source: the annotation of a GenBank genome assembly